This 460-nucleotide ribosomal RNA is filed under the name uncultured bacterium. Its description in RNAcentral is "partial 16S ribosomal RNA". It matches the Rfam family "Bacterial small subunit ribosomal RNA", at positions 338 to 795 of the family's 1533-position model. The record is from RNAcentral.
CCUACGGGAGGCCGCAGUGAGGAAUAUUGGUCAAUGGACGAGAGUCUGAACCAGCCACGUAGCGUGAAGGAUGACUGCCCUAUGGGUUGUAAACUUCUUUUAUAUGGGAAUAAAACGUUCCACGUGUGGGAUUUUGUAUGUACCAUAUGAAUAAGGAUCGGCUAACUCCGUGCCAGCAGCCGCGGUAAUACGGAGGAUCCGAGCGUUAUCCGGAGUUAUUGGGUUUAAAGGGAGCGUAGGUGGAUUGUUAAGUCAGUUGUGAAAGUUUGCGGCUCAACCGUAAAAUUGCAGUUGAAACUGGCAGUCUUGAGUACAGUAGAGGUGGGCGGAAUUCGUGGUGUAGCGGUGAAAUGCUUAGAUAUCACGAAGAACUCCGAUUGCGAAGGCAGUUCACUGGACUGCAACUGACACUGAGGCUCGAAAGUGUGGGUAUCAAACAGGAUUAGAUACCCUUGUAGUC